RNAcentral lists this ribosomal RNA (541 nucleotides) under uncultured bacterium. RNAcentral describes it as "bacterial SSU rRNA". It matches the Rfam family "Bacterial small subunit ribosomal RNA", at positions 356 to 896 of the family's 1533-position model. The record is from RNAcentral.
GGGGAAUAUUGCACAAUGGGCGAAAGCCUGAUGCAGCGACGCCGCGUGAGGGAUGGAGGCCUUCGGGUUGUAAACCUCUUUCGCUCAUGGUCAAGCCGCAACAGUGGUUGUGGUGAGGGUAGUGGGUAAAGAAGCACCGGCUAACUACGUGCCAGCAGCCGCGGUAAUACGUAGGGUGCGAGCGUUGUCCGGAAUUAUUGGGCGUAAAGGGCUUGUAGGCGGUUUGUCGCGUCUGCCGUGAAAUCCUCUGGCUUAACUGGGGGCGUGCGGUGGGUACGGGCAGGCUUGAGUGCGGUAGGGGAGACUGGAACUCCUGGUGUAGCGGUGGAAUGCGCAGAUAUCAGGAAGAACACCGGUGGCGAAGGCGGGUCUCUGGGCCGUUACUGACGCUGAGGAGCGAAAGCGUGGGGAGCGAACAGGAUUAGAUACCCUGGUAGUCCACGCUGUAAACGUUGGGCGCUAGGUGUGGGGGCCACCCGUGGUUUCUGCGCCGUAGCUAACGCUUUAAGUGCCCCGCCUGGGGAGUACGGCCGCAAGGCUA